UACGUAGGUGGCAAGCGUUGUCCGGAAUUAUUGGGCGUAAAGCGCGCGCAGGCGGUCCUUUAAGUCUGAUGUGAAAGCCCACGGCUCAACCGUUGAGGGUCAUUGGAAACUGGGGGACUUGAGUGCAGGAGAGAAAAGUGGAAUUCCACGUGUAGCGGUGAAAUGCGUAGAGAUGUGGAGGAACACCAGUGGCGAAGGCGACUUUUUGGCCUGUAACUGACGCUGAGGCGCGAAAGCGUGGGGAGCAAACAGG
RNAcentral lists this ribosomal RNA (253 nucleotides) under uncultured bacterium. Its description in RNAcentral is "partial 16S ribosomal RNA". It matches the Rfam family "Bacterial small subunit ribosomal RNA", at positions 524 to 776 of the family's 1533-position model. The record is from RNAcentral.